Long non-coding RNA from Astatotilapia calliptera (eastern happy), 1998 nucleotides. The record is from Ensembl. Lineage: Eukaryota; Metazoa; Chordata; Actinopteri; Cichliformes; Cichlidae.
GCAGAGAGGGCACUUCUGCUGCCCGCUCCACUCCGAGGCCUGUCCGUCAGCCUGCAGUGCGCGCUGUUGUCGGAGGGAGGCAGUGUGCCGGAUGUGUUACAGCGUGUCUGUGAGCCAGCCGCGACAGAGCGAAGCUGUAAUAGAAAAGCUGAGGAUGUGAUGGGGAGCAGUGGCUCUACAGUUCUUGCUGCUGCGAUGGUGCAUGUGGUGUCGCAGACGACGCUUCAGUCCAACUCGGUUUUCCUCUUGACCUGACUUUCUGCACUGAGGCAGCAGUAAACGGUUUCUGCUGCCACAACUGAUCAUGUCCUGAUCCAAGGUUUCAACUGCAGUAAUGAAGGUGAGGAUUGGCCCAAAGGACAAAAGGGGCUGGAGCCUUGGUCCUUCCUUACUAAUGUCUGUGGAAAUGUGUUUUUGCACAGAGUAAGAACAAGUGCAUAUGCAGAUUCUCUUGUUUCUAAUGCUGUUUAUCUUGUGUAACUAAAAUAAUUUUGUAUCAGCAGGUUGUGCCAAAAUGUUGCUGCCACACCUCAUUCCCCUGUAAGUGUCAACAUGUUUCCCACGAGGUGCAAGUGACAAACCCUCUAUUGUUAGGAGGAAGCAGCAGACUGUCCAACUGAAGACGCUGAAAUAAAUCAAGUUCAAGUAAGAAAUUGACUGGUGCUUGAUGUAGUCGUGCAUAUCAUUUAUGCUCUGUAGUAUGCUGAGGUCUAUCCCGACAGACCUUUCUCUGUAGGGCCGUGUUGUUGGAAAUGCCUCACAAAGUAAAUCUGUUUCGCUUUACCCACAUGUUCACUGCCAUGAACGUUGUGAGAUACUGAUGCAGAACAAGUGUCUGUCAAAUAUUACCAACUGCUCCAUAGAUUUUCUAUUCUGUCAUUGUUUACAAGUCUUAUCAGUGGACUGUUUUCAUAUCACUGGUUAGGGUGGACCACACAGAUAAACAUGGAUAGGAGUAAUCGGUAUAGUGUGAGUACCGUGAGGUUCUGUGCAUACCACGAGCCUGCUUUAACAGAGUUUCUUUUUUUUAAAUUUAAUAUUUUUUUAAAUGAAUGAUCUCUGAAAAUCCCUGAACUCUAUAAAACUCACAACAUGAGGUUUUCAGCAACAUUUGGAAAUUUUAAAAAGAGGGAGAGAUCUGGAGCAAAGAGGCAGAGCAGUUACCGCGACGAUGAGCUCAGGUGGCAUGGAGGAAUUCUUUCCGAGCAUCAAAAACAGCAGCACUUGUUACCGUAAUCAACAUUAAAACUUCCUGUUCAACAAGCUCCAGUAUGAGGAAAAGCCAGCUGCUCGCAUGCAAAGUGACAGCAGUGAAAAUGAAAUGUGCAGGUGAACAAUUAACUUUAGACUUGACAGUUAACUGAAGCCUGCAGCAAGCAGGCCUGGGUCUAAAGACGGUCUUCAUUAGAACAUGACAGGACACGCUCCAAUAAUUUAAUAAACUCUCCAUAUUACUGUGAAGCACUUUGGUGUGCCUUCGGGUUUUUAAAUGUGCUAUAUAAAUAAAAUUGUAUUGUAAACCCAUGUGUUUCAGAAUCUGAAGGCUGUCCUGCCUGCAUGGAAAGGACUGCAGCUGAUCGCUGAGUGGAUCAGUGAUUCCUGAGAGGAGACUGUUCUCCAGGCUGACGCUGGCUUUGGAGGAAACGUGUUGUAACCUUUGCAAAUGAGGAUUUAAUAAAGGAUGUCGUGUUACAGCAAACCUUGACUUGGCACUUGUGUUUGGACCUUGUUUAAGUCUUUGGCUUGCAGAAACAAGGUCAAUGAAUACUUGGUGGUAAUACAUUUUAAAGCUCCGUACUUCAUGAUGAUUUUGGGACAUGGAUGUCUGAGGGUUGAUGUUUACACGUGUUCCAGAACCUACUGAGGGACGUGGGGAUUUUUAUUUUAUCACUGACUAUUUUUAAAGAAAAGAUCAAGGUUUUAUUUUUAAAAUCUUGCCUUGUCAUAGAUUUAAUUCCUGCACUGUCCUAUUAAACUUGAGACUAGCACUCACUGAUA